GGGUAUAGCUCAGUGGUAUAGUGCUUGUCUAGCAUUCGUGAUGUCCUGGGUUCAAUCCCCAGUACUUCCA
RNAcentral lists this transfer RNA (70 nucleotides) under Ictidomys tridecemlineatus (thirteen-lined ground squirrel). Its description in RNAcentral is "Spermophilus tridecemlineatus (thirteen-lined ground squirrel) tRNA". It matches the Rfam family "tRNA". Rfam says of the family: Transfer RNA (tRNA) molecules are approximately 80 nucleotides in length. Their secondary structure includes four short double-helical elements and three loops (D, anti-codon, and T loops). Lineage: Eukaryota; Metazoa; Chordata; Mammalia; Rodentia; Sciuridae. The record is from Rfam by way of RNAcentral.